AUCUCCUCUCUCUGCUCCUUCUUCCUCUUCCUUUUCUUCUUUCUCUUUCGUUUUGUUUUUAAGGCAGUUUCCCCUGGGGUCAGGGUUUCAGUCCGUCAUGGGAAACUCCGGUCCAAGAAUUCGGGAGGGCGGGCUCUGGUCGAAUAAUGUCAGCUACAAAACAAUACAAAACCUCCCCCCCCUCUCUCUCAACGCCUACCAAAAGGACAAGUGAACAGCCACCGUUCCCAGAUACUGGACAGCAACAUCCAAGGAUAUAACAUCUAUUGACAGAGCUUGCGAUUCAAUCCUGGCCUGCUCUACUGCAAUCUUAACAUCAAAUUCUCGAAUCUCCGCACCUAGUCCCUUACCUUUUCAAUUUUUUUUUGACAAUCAAUGACUUUUUCAGGGUUUGAUGUAUGAUUAAUGGCACUUGCUAAACAUCUCAGUUAACAUUUUGUUUGUCUCCACCUCAUAUGGCCACUCCAGGGAACCUGACCACCGCCACAAGGACCACACCUGGGUCAAUCCUUUCAACCAGCUCCUCAAUACAUUGAUCUCCGUCUACAGAUGCACCUACCGAGGCCAAACAAAAGCUGGUUUUCGAAACUGACUACUUACAGAGCAUGUUUUGUCUCGCAUUCUAUUUCAGUAUGCACUAAAUACUCUUGGUAACAGGACAAGUAGGAUGCUUCUUUGGUUGAGAAUAAAAAAAAAUGUUAAGUUACUGGAAAGAGACCACUUUUCUUUCUUCCCAACAAAUUAGCAGAAGUCAUGCAUGUUACAACUAGAGAACUAUCAUUUCUGUUUUUUUAGCCUCCUCUUAUUAGCUUCUGCUUCUCUUCAAUCCCGUGAAUUUAGCCCUAACAAGAAUGAUAUUCCUCAGCCAAGCAGCAUGUGGUCUGUGGUGGAGCAUGGCCACGAAGAAGGUGCGACAAAAACAUAGGCCGACAACGACAAGUCUCUGACAGCCAAGAAGGGGAGAUUGCCUUCACCCUCAAAGGAUGAGUAGUCCACAUUUCAGGUGGUUCAAUAUUCAUUAAGCUACUUCCACUGCCAGCAUUGCUUUGAAAUGAUUACAUCUGUCUUUGCGCAGCAUCACUGAAGACGCAUAACUGCCGCACUAUCCACCAGGCUCGCAUUUUGCUACUACAUAUGGAGGCUGCCAUAACUUUUUGGAUGCCUACGGACUGCACCUGCUGGAAAUGCUUGAUUGCGUCAGUGAAAUUAUGAAGCAAGCAAGACAAUCAAAUGUUCCAAUUGUCAUAAUUUCAGUGAAAUGAUCAGACAAAUUUAAAAAUAGCAGCAAUUAUCAGCUUGUUGGGAUGUGGGGUUGGAGGACUGGAGAUUCAGUAGUGAUCAAGAUUCAAAUUGUUCUUUGCCUUUACAAUUCUAAGUUUUUGAUGUGUUAGGGUCGUGUCACAUGUUACCAUGCUUAUGUUAUAAUGCUCUCAUUACAGUUGAAUAAUUGAUCUUAAGAUCGUUAAUGAGUUCUAAUUAAAAGAGCUUCUUGCUCUUGAGGAAAUGCUUAAAUAUUAAUUGUACACUGAUUGAAAUCAACUUAUUACUUCAUGUCAAAGAAGCUUGGAUUUUCUUCUUUAUAUUGAUGGAAGUUUGUUAUACAGGUAUGUAAGGCAACACUUAUUGCUCUCACAAGGGUAUGCCUUUUGUUGCUUUCCUGAAUAUUGGAUGCUAGAAUGCCAAAUGCACCACUACUUACAUAUAACUAUGUAAUAAUGUUAAAUAGGCUUGGCUUUGCGUUUGAGGAACUAAUUAAAGAAGAUUUGGGUGAGAAAUGUAAUUUUUAUUUGGAUGAUGAAGCUCAGGAUUUAGAGCAGUUGGUUAUUAGCUUUGCUCAGAUGUUAAUAGACGAAAGAAACGCAUCAGAUUCUUUCAUGGGAAAGUUUAUGUACAUGUAUGUAUUCAUGUAUAAGGAACCAAGAUCACCAGCAAUCAUCAUCUCCAAGUAGGAGGUUUCAUGAUGGGAUUCAUUUCUACUUCUACAGCUAUGUCCCAUAGAUGGCCGAACUUCUCAGCUUCUCUUACAAUCUGAAUGCCAUCAAGACGAGGAAGGAGUGCUGCUAUGAUUAUACCAAGCAAGCACACGCAAAAAGAUCCCUCCCCCGUCAUGUUGAAGAUUGCCCUGUCAGAUUACGUCCCAGUUGCAAGCAUUAGUCAGUCCAUGUAUACAUUGCUUUUUUUUGUGAGCUUAACUGAAGGGAGAAUUUAUACAGGUAAUAUCUACAUCUGUGGAAGAGAAGAUGACAUACCAGUAGCCAACAAACAUAGGAAUGACAUUGAGGAUCAUGACACAAAUGGAAGUUGCAGCAGCUAUAGAUCCCCAAAUAACUGCAUAAAAGACCCAAUUCCAUUGGAUGAUGUCCAUGGCCAAGUGCAGAUUAACCAGAAUAUCCACUUUUUGGAGCUAACAAGGUGACGCCCUGGUUGUCCUGCAAAUUUAUCUUUUGAUCAGCAUUCUAAGGGCUAAUACAUAAUAUUUUAAACGUAUUUGGGGUGGCCUGAGAGUUGUGUAACUCUUAACCCAAACACAGGCGGCGUUAAUUUUAUUUUAUUUUCCUA
Molecule: long non-coding RNA, 2559 nt
Organism: Populus trichocarpa (black cottonwood)
Lineage: Eukaryota; Viridiplantae; Streptophyta; Magnoliopsida; Malpighiales; Salicaceae
Exons: 5
Source: RefSeq, a predicted model, not a curated record